GGGCAUAUUAUGAUAAAUAUAAUAUCUAGUAUGAGUCUGGUUUGCUUCCUUUAGAUUAGCGGACUAAAUCGCUAGUAAUCACGGAUCAGCAUGCCGCGGUGAAUAUGUACCCGGGCCCUGUACACACUGCCCGUCACACCCUGGGAAUUGGUUUCGCCUGAAGCAUCGGACCAAUGAUCACCCAUGACUUCUGUGUACCACUAGUGCCACAAAGGCUUUUGGUGGUCUUAUUGGCGCAUACCACGGUGGGGUCUUCGACUGGGGUGAAUUCGUAACAAGGUAGCCGUAGGGGAACCUGUGGCUG
This 304-nucleotide non-coding RNA is filed under the name Cicer arietinum (chickpea). Its description in RNAcentral is "Bacterial small subunit ribosomal RNA". It matches the Rfam family "Bacterial small subunit ribosomal RNA", at positions 1256 to 1520 of the family's 1533-position model. Lineage: Eukaryota; Viridiplantae; Streptophyta; Magnoliopsida; Fabales; Fabaceae. The record is from Rfam by way of RNAcentral.